AAACAGUUUGGCUGUGCACUCUAAAGGGACUGCCGAUGAGAAAUCGGAGGAAGGUGGGGAUGACGUCAAAUCAUCAUGCCCUUUAUGUCCUGGGCUACACACGUGCUACAAUGGUCGAUACAACGGGCUUGCCACCUCGCAAGAGGGAGCUAAUCCCACAAAGUCGAUCCCAGUUCGGAUUGUAGGCUGCAACUCGCCUACAUGAAGCUGGAGUUGCUAGUAAUCGCAAAUCAGAAUGUUGCGGUGAAUACGUUCCCGGGUCUUGUACACACCGCCCGUCACACCAUGGAAGUUGACAAUACCCGAAGCCAGUGAGCCAACCAUUUGGAGGCAGCUGUCGAAGGUAGGGCCAAUGACUGGGGUGAAGUCGUAACAAGGUAGCCGUAUCGGAAGGUGCGGCUGGAUCACCUCCUUU
This 415-nucleotide ribosomal RNA is filed under the name Anaerosalibacter massiliensis. Its description in RNAcentral is "Bacterial small subunit ribosomal RNA". It matches the Rfam family "Bacterial small subunit ribosomal RNA", at positions 1119 to 1533 of the family's 1533-position model. Lineage: Bacteria; Bacillati; Bacillota; Tissierellia; Tissierellales; Sporanaerobacteraceae. The record is from Rfam by way of RNAcentral.